This 784-nucleotide long non-coding RNA is filed under the name Chrysolophus pictus (golden pheasant). Its description in RNAcentral is "lncRNA (ENSCPIG00010008734.1)". Lineage: Eukaryota; Metazoa; Chordata; Aves; Galliformes; Phasianidae. The record is from RNAcentral.
CAAUAAUCUGCUGAAAGCACGAAUUCUUCUAACCAGUCCCCUUCCUUAGCACGCCCCAGAUGCGAACAAUGAAGCCCAUGGAGAACAGCGUGGCAGUUUCUGCAUGGUGAAAAGCUGGCAACAUUUGCUUGAAAACAGGCUGGCAGCACUGUGGGAAGGCACUCAUCCAUUGCCCUGACCCAUCCCUGAGGAACCGAGUUCUGAUGGAUACCAUUACAGCAACACGUGCUCUGACACGACGGGACAUGUGGACACGUGCAGGUGUUCUCAAAACCUCUCCCCCGAUUCCUUCCUUUGGUGUCAUGGUUCACUUCCAUUGGGAUCACGCAACAAGAAGUGGGAUGUGAAAAACCCCGUUUGUUGGAUGUUUACAUCUCAGCCAUAGCAGCCCAAGUCUGUGAGUACUGAAGCACAGAAGCCACUACUGUUGCUGUUGAUCGGAUUAAAAGAAAAUGCAGUCCCACUGGAGACUUAUGGCCAUUCAGGGGAAAACAAAAUAGAAAAAAAGAGAGAACAAAAACCUGGAAGAAGUUGGAGUGCUCCUGGGAGAUCAGAGCACAGGUCCAAGAGCCCUCUGCAGAGUGGAAAGAAACCAAGGGUGCUGACUUCAUAAAGAGGGAAANNNNNNNNNNNNNNNNNNNNNNNNNNNNNNNGGGAGAAACUUUGAUCUACCAAACUCUUCUGAAAGAGCCUGAGCACAGACACGGUAAUGCUGCACGACAGAACUGCACACACGUGGGUCUCCCCUGUGUCUCAGGGUGAUGUGGUGAUGUGCUGCAUUUCC